This 433-nucleotide ribosomal RNA is filed under the name uncultured bacterium. Its description in RNAcentral is "partial 16S ribosomal RNA". It matches the Rfam family "Bacterial small subunit ribosomal RNA", at positions 29 to 507 of the family's 1533-position model. The record is from RNAcentral.
AACGAACGCUGGCGGCAGGCUUAACACAUGCAAGUCGAACGGAUCCUUCGGGAUUAGUGGCAGACGGGUGCGUAACGCGUGGGAACGUACCCUUUGCUACGGAAUAACUCAGGGAAACUUGAGCUAAUACCGUAUGUGCCCUACGGGGGAAAGAUUUAUCGGCAAAGGAUCGGCCCGCGUUGGAUUAGCUAGUUGGUGGGGUAAUGGCCUACCAAGGCGACGAUCCAUAGCUGGUCUGAGAGGAUGAUCAGCCACACUGGGACUGAGACACGGCCCAGACUCCUACGGGAGGCAGCAGUGGGGAAUAUUGGACAAUGGGCGCAAGCCUGAUCCAGCCAUGCCGCGUGAGUGAUGAAGGUCUUAGGAUUGUAAAGCUCUUUCACCGGUGAAGAUAAUGACGGUAGCCGGAGAAGAAGCCCCGGCUAACUUCGUG